UGGAUAACUGUGGUAAUUCUAGAGCUAAUACAUGCAGUAAGCCUUGACCCUUACGGGCAAGGCGCAGUUAUUAGAUCAAAAACCAAUCGGUUGUGUCUUCGGAUGCAGCCGUUAGCUUGGUGACUCUGAGUAACCACAGCGAACCGUAUGGCCUCGUGCUCGACGGUCUGUCAGUCAAGCAACUGCCUUAUCAGCUUGUUGUUAGGUUAUAUGCCUAACAAGGCUUCAACGGGUAACGAACGAUCGGGGUCGGAUAUCGGAGAGGGAGCUUGAGAAACGGCUACCACUUCCAAGGAAGGCAGCAGGCGCGCAAAUUACCCACUCUCGGCAUGAGGAGGUAGCGAUAAAAUGUAUCGAUGCGGGGCCAUUAGUGCCUUCGCAAUCGGAAUGAGUACACUUUAAAUCCUAUAACAAGGACCUAUUGGAGGGCAAGUCUGGUGCCAGCAGCCGCGGUAAUUCCAGCUCCAAUAGCGUAUAUUAAUGCUGCUGCGGUUAAAAAGCUCGUAGUCGGAUCUGGGUUACCGGCGGGUACCGCAUGUGGCUUCAUGCUGCAUGUUGUGUACUAUACGUGCCGCUUCGGCGGCACUGCCAGUGUAGUAGUACUUUAGGGUGCAUUACGCUGGUCGCCGGAACCACGAGCCGGGUUGAGCAGUAUGCUCUUUAUUGAGUGUAUUGUUUACUCGGUGCGUUUACUUUGAAAAAAUUGGAGUGCUCAAAGCAAGCGUACAGUCGCUAUGCGGCUUGAACAGUGGUGCAUGGAAUAAUGGAAUAGGGCCUCGGUUCUAUUUUGUUGGUUUUAAGAUAUCGAGGUAAUGAUUAAGAGGGACAGACGGGGACGUUUGUAUUGCGACGUUAGAGGUGAAAUUCUUGGAUCGUCGCAAGACACACUAAUGCGAA
Molecule: ribosomal RNA, 897 nt
Filed under: Echiniscus aonikenk
Lineage: Eukaryota; Metazoa; Tardigrada; Heterotardigrada; Echiniscoidea; Echiniscidae
Description: SSU rRNA
Rfam family: Eukaryotic small subunit ribosomal RNA
Source: RNAcentral